ACGUUCGGAAAGGAUAACCGCUGAAAGCAUCUAAGCGGGAAGCCUGCUUCGAGAUGAGUAUUCCCACCAACUUGAUUGGUUAAGGCUCCCAGUAGACGACUGGGUUGAUAGGCCAGAUGUGGAAGCCCGGUAACGGGUGGAGCUGACUGGUACUAAUAGGCCGAGGGCUUGUCCUCAGUUG
RNAcentral lists this ribosomal RNA (181 nucleotides) under Streptomyces sp. A0958. RNAcentral describes it as "partial 23S ribosomal RNA". It matches the Rfam family "Bacterial large subunit ribosomal RNA", at positions 2751 to 2925 of the family's 2925-position model. Lineage: Bacteria; Bacillati; Actinomycetota; Actinomycetes; Kitasatosporales; Streptomycetaceae. The record is from RNAcentral.